GUCUGCAAUCAUAACCCCCUGAAUGUGCCCGAUCUCAUCUGAUCUCGGAAGCUAAGCAGUGUGAGGCUUGGUUAGUACUUGGAUGGGAGUCAAAGUUAUAAUUUUGGGACAAGCUCAGGGUAAACA
RNAcentral lists this ribosomal RNA (126 nucleotides) under Chinchilla lanigera (long-tailed chinchilla). The record is from RNAcentral. Lineage: Eukaryota; Metazoa; Chordata; Mammalia; Rodentia; Chinchillidae.